This 253-nucleotide ribosomal RNA is filed under the name uncultured bacterium. RNAcentral's name for it is "partial 16S ribosomal RNA". It matches the Rfam family "Bacterial small subunit ribosomal RNA", at positions 524 to 776 of the family's 1533-position model. The record is from RNAcentral.
GACGGAGGAGGCAAGCGUUAUCCGGAAUUAUUGGGCGUAAAGCGUCCGUAGGCGGUUAUUCAAGUCUUUUGUUAAAUAGUGGAGCUCAACUCCAUAGAGGCGGAAGAAACUGAGUAACUUGAGUGCGGUAGGGGUAGAGGGAAUUCCAGGUGUAGCGGUGAAAUGCGUAGAGAUCGGAAGGAACGCCGGUGGCGAAAGCGGCGUGCUGGACCUCUGCUGACGCUGAGGCGCGAAAGCCAGGGGAGCAAACGGG